Molecule: ribosomal RNA, 429 nt
Filed under: Gemmatimonadota bacterium
Lineage: Bacteria; Pseudomonadati; Gemmatimonadota
Description: Gemmatimonadetes bacterium partial 16S ribosomal RNA
Rfam family: Bacterial small subunit ribosomal RNA
Source: RNAcentral
UAGGGAAUCUUCGGCAAUGGACGAAAGUCUGACCGAGCAACGCCGCGUGAGUGAAGAAGGUUUUCGGAUCGUAAAACUCUGUUGUUAGAGAAGAACAAGGACGUCAGUAACUGAACGUCCCCUGACGGUAUCUAACCAGAAAGCCACGGCUAACUACGUGCCAGCAGCCGCGGUAAUACGUAGGUGGCAAGCGUUGUCCGGAUUUAUUGGGCGUAAAGCGAGCGCAGGCGGUUUCUUAAGUCUGAUGUGAAAGCCCCCGGCUCAACCGGGGAGGGUCAUUGGAAGCUGGGAGACUUGAGUGCAGAAGAGGAGAGUGGACUUCCAUGUGUAGCGGUGAAAUGCGUAGAUAUAUGGAGGAACACCAGUGGCGAAGGCGGCUCUCUGGUCUGUAACUGACGCUGAGGCUCGAAAGCGUGGGGAGCAAACAGG